RNAcentral lists this non-coding RNA (28 nucleotides) under Mus musculus (house mouse). Lineage: Eukaryota; Metazoa; Chordata; Mammalia; Rodentia; Muridae. The record is from RNAcentral.
UGGCAUUUGUGCUUUCACCACAGCAGCA